AAAUAGAGUGCCUGAAUAAAGGGUUAUUUUGAUAGAAUAAAUUAUGUAAGCUUUACCUCUAUU
Molecule: transfer RNA, 63 nt
Filed under: Ptilodactylidae sp. 2 ACP-2013
Lineage: Eukaryota; Metazoa; Arthropoda; Insecta; Coleoptera; Ptilodactylidae
Description: tRNA-Ile
Source: RNAcentral